CGUGAGCUGGGUUUAGAACGUCGUGAGACAGUUCGGUCCCUAUCUUCCGUGGGUGUAGGAUACUUGAGAGGAGUUGCCCCUAGUACGAGAGGACCGGGGUGAACGAACCACUGGUGGACCAGUUGUCGUGCCAACGGCAGUGCUGGGUAGCUAUGUUCGGACAGGAUAACCGCUGAAGGCAUCUAAGCGGGAAACCAACCUGAAAACGAGUGUUCCCUAUCAGAGCCGUGGAAGACGACCACGUUGAUAGG
RNAcentral lists this ribosomal RNA (251 nucleotides) under Thalassiosira minuscula. Its description in RNAcentral is "partial Bacterial large subunit ribosomal RNA". It matches the Rfam family "Bacterial large subunit ribosomal RNA", at positions 2599 to 2860 of the family's 2925-position model. The record is from RNAcentral. Lineage: Eukaryota; Bacillariophyta; Thalassiosirophyceae; Thalassiosirales; Thalassiosiraceae.